CUUCUGUUCAAAUCUAUCUGUGCUGUUCCGUGUGCCUUCAGCAGAUCUCAUUUGUGAGACGUCCGUCAGCUGUCAGAAAAGCUUGAAUGCUCUAAUGGUCUGCUGAAUUCAACACACCAUCAGGAAAUAAAGGUAAUGAAAAAGGAUGAGAGAUUUCUGUGCGAGAUGGAGGAACAGAAGGAGAUGAUAUCACUCCUCCUGUGAUGCACUCGCCCCCUUUCCACCAAGCCUUUGCCAGUGCUGCAGUUUCUAUCUCUAUAAUAUUCAAGUAAUCCCCGCUGAGGAAAGUCGAGGAGUCGGCAACACACUGUCACUUCAACUCUGUUUCUCAGGCUCGUGGGAAAUCAAAGAAGAGAAAGCAAGAAAGAGACAGAGAGGAAGCUGGAACAGGAGAGGGGAAGGCGUAGAGAGAAAAUGAUCACACUAAACAAACAAAUUUGCCACAUUCGUGCGAAAGCGGCAAAUGCUUCCUAUCCACCAUCACAGAAGUUCUGUGUUACUUAAAGGGUUAGUUAACAUUGACUUCCCAUGUCAAUGUCAUUAUAUUUCUUUCUCUUUUUUGGACAAUAAAUAAAUAAAUAAAUACUGUUCAAAUACAUCCAUGCUCAUUUAAAAAAAAAAAAAAAAUUAGAUGCAAGACUGUCAACGAAUGGUUCCAUGUGACACAUCGCAUGUGUUCUAGGAGUAUACAAUAGGGUUUAAUAAGAAACAUUAAAUUGCAUGUACUAAAUAAAAGCCUGACCUUGACUUUUAGUUUUCAUGCUUGGCUGUGCUUUCAUGAAACUCUAUUAGGGCUGUAAUUCAUGCCGACUCACCCAGAAAUGGCACACAAGUGUACCGUUCUGAUAAAUCAAUAUUAAUAAAUCAUAAUAGAAAUUCCCCCCAAAAAGUAUCCAUCUAGU
This 902-nucleotide long non-coding RNA is filed under the name Danio rerio (zebrafish). RNAcentral describes it as "lncRNA (ENSDARG00000117510.1)". The record is from RNAcentral. Lineage: Eukaryota; Metazoa; Chordata; Actinopteri; Cypriniformes; Danionidae.